GUAUGCUAAGUACACCUUCCGGUACACUUACCUUGUUACGACUUACCUCGUCUUCAGCUGUUUGUCAUAUUAGUUAAUGUAUUUUGGGGCUUGUGAGGAGGGUGACGGGCGGUGUGUACGUGCCCUAGGACCGGUUUAAAGAAGGCUUGAUUGUCCUGCUUUACUGCUAAAUCCACCUUCUAGAGGCAAAUUUCAAGCCUCUUUUCGUUGGUUUAUUCUAUUUUAGAAAAUGUAGCCCAUUUCUUCCACUUCAUGGGCUAUACCUUGACCUGUCUUGUUAGCGGGGUGUGGGCUGUUGUGUCCACUGCUGCUCUCUCAUGGAGGUGGGCUGGCGACGGCGGUAUGUAGGCUGAUUUUGGCUAGAAGUGGUUGGGUGGAUCGUGGGUUGUCGAUUAUAGAACAGGCUCCUCUAGGUGGGUUUAGGGCACCGCCAAGUCCUUAGAGUUUUAAGCGUUUGUGCUCGUAGUUCUCGGGCGGAUGUUUAUGUUUGGUAAACAUCAAGAUUUAGGGCCAGGCAUAGUGGGGUAUCUAAUCCCAGUUUGUACCCUGGCUUUCGUGGGGUGGGAUUUAUCAUGGGUGCUAAGGUCGUUUUUAGGUUGAGUUUCAUAGUUCCUUAGGCUUGUGACGGCUUAGGUUAGGGUUUAGCCUUAGUUUGUUGUGACAAUCUAUGGCCACUCUUUACGCCGCGUACGGUUAAUUUGGGUUUCUUGUAUGACCGCGGUGGCUGGCACAAGAUUUACCAACCCUAGUUGCUUUAACUAAGUCAGGUUUUCACCUAUUGCUUAAUGUUAACUACUGCUGAAUGCCCGUGGGGGUGUGGCGGGGCUGGGCGUCUUGGGCUACGGUGGGUGUGCCUGAUGCCCGCUCCUUGCGCCUUGGUAAGGGGUCGGGGGCGUUUGCACUGGAGUGCGGAUACUUGCAUGUAUAUGUUAAGCAAAAAUUAACGGUAAGGUUAGGACUAAGUCUUUU
This 969-nucleotide ribosomal RNA is filed under the name Myiopsitta monachus (monk parakeet). Its description in RNAcentral is "12S ribosomal RNA". The record is from RNAcentral. Lineage: Eukaryota; Metazoa; Chordata; Aves; Psittaciformes; Psittacidae.